Molecule: long non-coding RNA, 288 nt
Organism: Hippocampus zosterae (dwarf seahorse)
Lineage: Eukaryota; Metazoa; Chordata; Actinopteri; Syngnathiformes; Syngnathidae
Exons: 2
Source: RefSeq, a predicted model, not a curated record
UGAAGGGAUUAUCAUUUAGAGGGAAGUCAGUUCCAAACAAAGUCAAACACUGGUCAAGAGGAGAGAGUGAGGAGACAAGAGUCUUAGUUAAGAUGGAAGAGGUCAAGUACUGGACUUCCCAGUUGGGAAGGUGAGAGGAUUGUAAGGAUGAUGAUUGUACGGUGGGUAAAGAGUAGGGGUAGAUGGGAUCCUCUACCGAGCUGAUAUUCUUCUGGGUUUCUCGGACCCGCUUCACCUCAGGAAGGUCUGGUAUAGCUGUACCUUGACUCAGAGAAUCUUUGUACUGUA